GAUGAACGCUGGCGGCGUGCCUAAUACAUGCAAGUCGAGCGAACAGACGAGGUGCUUGCUCCUCUGACGUUAGCGGCGGACGGGUGAGUAACACGUGGAUAACCUACCUAUAAGACUGGGAUAACUUCGGGAAACCGGAGCUAAUACCGGAUAAUAUAUUGAACCGCAUGGUUCAAUAGUGAAAGACGGUUUUGCUGUCACUUAUAGAUGGAUCCGCGCCGCAUUAGCUAGUUGGUAAGGUAACGGCUUACCAAGGCAACGAUGCGUAGCCGACCUGAGAGGGGGAUCGGCCACACUGGAACUGAGACACGGUCCAGACUCCUACGGGGGGCAGCAGUAGGGAAUCUUCCGCAAUGGGCGAAAGCUUGACGGGGCAACGCCGCGUGAGUGAUGAAGGUCUUCGGAUCGUAAAACUCGGUUAUUAGGGAAGAACAAAUGUGUAAGUAACUAUGCACGUCUUGACGGUACCUAAUCAGAAAGCCACGGCUAACUACGUG
This 497-nucleotide ribosomal RNA is filed under the name uncultured bacterium. RNAcentral describes it as "partial 16S ribosomal RNA". It matches the Rfam family "Bacterial small subunit ribosomal RNA", at positions 28 to 507 of the family's 1533-position model. The record is from RNAcentral.